This 422-nucleotide ribosomal RNA is filed under the name uncultured archaeon. Its description in RNAcentral is "bacterial SSU rRNA". It matches the Rfam family "Archaeal small subunit ribosomal RNA", at positions 458 to 880 of the family's 1478-position model. The record is from RNAcentral.
UCAGCCGCCGCGGUAAAACCAGCACCUCGAGUGGUCAGGAGGUUUAUUGGGCCUAAAGCAUCCGUAGCCGGUUGUUUAAGUUUUCGGUUAAAUCUAUGCGCUUAACGUAUAGGCUGCCGAAAAUACUGGACAGCUAGGGAGUGGGAGAGGUACACGGUACUCAACAGGAAGGGGUAGAAUCCUUUGAUCUGUUGAUGACCACCUGUGGCGAAGGCGGUGUACCAGAACACGUUCGACGGUGAGGGAUGAAAGCUGGGGGAGCAAACCGGAUUAGAUACCCGGGUAGUCCCAGCUGUAAACGAUGCAGACUCGGUGAUGCAUUGGCUUGUGGCCAAUGCAGUGCCGCAGGGAAGCCGUUAAGUCCGCCGCCUGGGAAGUACGUACGCAAGUAUGAAACUUAAAGGAAUUGGCGGGGGAGCACA